Culex pipiens pallens (northern house mosquito) is the source of this 6458-nucleotide long non-coding RNA. RefSeq lists it as uncharacterized. The record is from RefSeq and is a predicted model, not a curated record. The transcript is spliced from 2 exons. Lineage: Eukaryota; Metazoa; Arthropoda; Insecta; Diptera; Culicidae.
AGUUAGUCAGUGUCAGACGCUUGUCGGGGCAAAGGGCAUCAAGAAAUGAAGCAUAAACUUUUUAUCGCCUUUCGGACAGCCUUUUCUGUAGUUUGUUGCAUAAAACCUGCCGUAAAUCGCACCUCACUGUUACGCGAAGUCGGGAUUAGUGUUCUUGAAACUCAGUCUCUAUUCAAACCGAAUUCGUCAUUAUUUCUUUGAAAAAAUAUUCACCUGCAAGCUACACGAUACCCAUUCAUUCAAAGUCGUUAGUUUAAUUCAUAUAACACGUACCGUGCCUGCCAACGAGUACUUCACACUCCUCAAUGAAUUCGUGCAAAGGCAGCAACAUAUCGCGCAUGAAUGGAGCCCAAAAUUGAGCAUCUUUUGUACGAGUCCAGAUUUUUUAACCAACUAGAAACGCUUACGGAGGUGAUUUGUUCAAUUAAAAAGAACAGUACGCGGUCAAAUUCAAACAAAUUGGAUAUUUUUGGUGGUACAAUAGCGAUUCCGGUAAUAAAUGGCCGCAAAAGGGUUCCUUUCAUUCAGAAAAGUGAACAGGAUCGAGGAAAAGAUUGGUUUGCGAAAGGAGCAAGGUUUUGUUCGUUAGAAGGAAAAAAAAUCGUGAUAUCGGCGUUAUGGUAACUUCAUUUCAAACAUUACAAUUGCGUGAUGCUAUUUUUCAGCCGGUAUGUCCUUUUAUGUUUGCAUUUGAAUGUUAGAAUCUCGUUUUGGUUUUGUAAAUCGGAGAACUUCAUCCCCUGAUUCAAAAUACUAAGUUCCUUUCAUUAACAAUAAAUCGGUGAAUUUUAUUUAAUUCUUGUUGGUCAACAUUGGUUUGGCGGUUCCUCGGCCUAAAUAAUAUGACUUGGUUUUUUUUCUUUACGGUUAAAAAAAACAAUUUUCGUAAAAUUUACCAAAAUAAGCAUAUUAUAGAAAAAUAUUUACACCUUGGUUUUAGAAACCUAUUUACCCAAUUUUUUAUAUCAUUUUAAUCCAUUUUUUUAUAUAACCCUCUAAUGCCCAUAGUUGCACUAGAACACCACUAAAGUUUUACUUCAAAUUUAAAUUAGGUACUCGAAAACCAUUGAAUGAAUUGCACUAUUUCUUCUUGAACAAUGCUACUCGGGAUGUUUGCUGCCUCCAAUUCAAAUUUCAUCCAAUUUGGAGAAGUAAGUGAAAAAUUGCAAGGAAAAACGUAAAAAAUCAUGAUUUUGCACUGGGCGGGAAGGGGUUAAGAAGAUUUUGAUUUUUUUAAAGCAUAAUCUAAAGCCCGUACUUUGCCCAUGCAGGCCUGAUUAAAAAAAAACAUACUAUUUAAUAGUUGAUGCUGAUUUUCAGAGCCAGAGAUUUUUGGACAGUUAAAAAAAGUCAUAUUUGGGUUUGGUAGAAUUGCCAGAAAAAAAUAAUUGUUGAGAAUGAUUUCAGUUAUGGAGCAACAUUUGAAAAGGGCACAAACGCAUUUUGGUAGCUGCAAAUAUUUUCCAGUUUUUCAGAGAACGGACAAAUCUUAUACGAAACUUCUAGUGUUAAAUGAUAGCUGGCAAAUCCAGCUAUUUCGUUACACUUUAAGUUCUGUUCAAAACUUACCUGCGGCUUGGGAAUUUGCAAUAUAGUGCCAGCUGUCAAAAUGCUUAGCGACCCUUUUCUCGUGAUGGUCCAGACUUGUUUAGAUCUGAAAGUUUCAUCAAAAUAUUUAAAGAUUUGAGUAAGCUAUAAAGAUAUCAUAAAUGUUGAUAAACUUGUUAGAUCUUCAUUCUACUGGACUCGUUGCAAAUGUGAUUACCUUACCUACUCGUUGCAAAUGUGGUUCACCUGAACAUUAUUUUUAUCAAAAUAUCUGAGAUCCGGCUUCAAAUUAUAAUUAACUCUUAAGCGAUCAUAACUUUGAGCCGAUUGCUUGAAAAUGUUUAUUUUCGAAAGUUUAUAACAUUGCGGGUAAAAACCUUUAAAGGGAUCAUCCAUAAACCACGUGGGCACUUUUUUAGGGAUCUAUUCAAAUUGAACGUAAUUUUUCUUCAUUAAAAUUUUGGCUUGAAAAAGAUUCAAAAAUAUAAGCAAAUUCAUCAUUUAAAAAAAAAAGAUCGAUGCAAAUAUUUUUAAAAGAUAUCUUAAAAAUCAGGGAUUAAAAAUAUGUGCAAAUGAUCAAAGAAGUUUAUAUAUAUUUUUUUUUCAUUGCAAUCGACAAAAACAAUUCAGAAUUUUCGAUUUGUUUUUCAUUUUUUAAAAAGUUUUCUCCAUCCGUAAAAAUAGUAAAUGGCUAAAUUUUUGUACAAUAAUGCAGGAAAUACUUUACUUUGACUCACAAACAUCGAAUUGGUGCAUAAAAGUUUAAUUUGAAGUGAUGCACCAGAGCACCAUCAGGAAGAUGAGCAACUUUUUUUAAAAUCACAAAAUCUAGUUUUCUUCAAAUCUAUUGGUUCAGUUGUUUGAAAAUGCUUCGAAAUGUGUUAAAAACUACUUAUUCUUUGCUGUAAGACCAUAUUUCUGAUUUAUGAAAUACAAAUUUUAAAAUCUCUGCAUUUUCAGGUUUCUUUGAUUGGCUCAUUCAAAACCCACAAACAACCAUUUUCAUGAAAAAUGAGGAAAAUAAUAAAACCAUCGGUCUAAUAACAAUGUUUUGUCUUGUUUAUGAAUAGUCAAAACGUUUAUAAACUUUUGUUUUGAUAAAAAUAAGCUUUUUCUGUAAUUUAAAAAAAAAAGUGCUCCUGAAUAUUUAGUUGCUCAUAUGCCUAGGUGGUGCUCUGGUGCACCAAAUGAAAAAGGUUGAAAAACACUCAAAACCGGUCCAAACUCACAAUGUUAAUCACAGGGGUUUUUGUCCAAGGUUCAAAUGAUAGCAAAACAUUUUUUGUUUCAUAAAAUUUUAUGUUUGGUAAUUUUUACGGGCUUUCGAAAACAGGUCUUAUUUAUUUCCCUAAAAUUAGCCCAUUUUUCUUUACAUUUCGCACUGUAACUUUGCUUGUGCUUAACCAAAUUUGAUGCAAUUAGGAGAGCUGUUAGUAUACAUUCUACAGGAACACCUGCAACUUAAAGCACCAUGAAAAGUUGUGUUAGUUCCGAGAUAUUUGAGUUCAAGGUUUUGGUGCUCUGGAGUAACCAUGGGCGGGAGAGGGUUAAAUCAAAUUUACAGCUCCAAUACUUCUAACUAACGUGAAAUAUUCCGAGGAUUCCGAAUAUGACAAAAUUGAGACCAAAAAGUGCCGCUAUGGAAGCCUACAGGACAAAAACUAACGUUGUAAAAUGUUUGAUACAGAAAAAUCGAAAAACUAUGAGAAAAACUGCGAUUGGCCAAAAAGUCUUUUCCGUAGGCUUAUAGUCCAUGAAAUUCCCUAACUUUUGACCUAUAGGAGUACGGGUGUUGGAGGCUGUUGCAAAAAAAUAUUAAGGUUUUAAAAAAUCCAUUUUUAACAGUAAUUUGCAAAAGCUAUGAGAAAAAAUUUAACCAAUCCUGGAUGUCUAUGGCUUAUUUUGAAGUGCUUCAAAAGACCUUUCGAAUGCAUCUAAGAGUUGGAAUUGAUGAAGUUUUACGGAAAUGCGAGCAAUUUUAAGAUUUUUCAUGUUUUUUGGACCUCAAACUUCAAUGCCCGUUUUAACCCACUUCCCUUUGUCAUAGAGGGCUCAUAUUUGGCAUGAGUUCAUCUCAUGUAUAGACAAAUAAACGCUGAAAGUUUCAUCCAAAUCGGAGCACCUCGAUACGACCUGUUACACAUUGGUGAAAAACUCGCUCUUAAGUUUAUCCUGAUUUCCCUUCAGUCGCAUGUAAACUAAUUUUAAUGCAGUCAAAAUUACCGAUCAUGCAUAGCGCUGCGCUUCUCAAUUUUGCAGCAACACCAUUAUUUCUAGCCUUACCACAUGUUGGAGAAGAAAAAACCCAGAGUGAGAGAGUGGAAAUGAUGUGGCUUGCGGCUUACCUGCGUUGGUCCCGCGAGACCAAAGCCAAAGCGAUUUUAGAUUCUAAACCUUCCAAUAUGGAAGUUACGCACCUAAACUAAACAGUGCAAAUUAAUGUCACUUUGUCCCAUGCGUAGCUAUAAAACCCCUCUGGCACAGUUUGGUUUUCCAAACGCAGUGCACAAAUAAUUAGUCACGUCACGUGCAACAUGCAAAUAGUGCGAAUAGGUGUGAAAUUGCAAUUUGGUUCGGCGUGAUUAGGUGGUGUAGGCAAAUUUUUUAAACUAAAAUUGUGUGACGCAUAAUUUCAACCCCUAACUAGGCAGAACCAACAGGGUGGAAAAAAGUUUAACCCGUUCCCUUUGAACAAACAUUUAUUGAGAUGUUAACUAUGCUGUCGCGAUCCAACCCUUUUUCCCCCUUCCCCGCACAAAGUGACAUUUUUUCCGGAACAUUAUUUAUCAUUUGCGCAUGCCUUAAACCGAAGAACAAAGCAUACAAUUUAACAGAUAAAUCCUUUUUUCAGAAGUGAGCAACCAAGCAGCGAUAAAAAACCUAAAACUAGCGACAUGGAAAUCGGUUAUCUGCUGUUUGAGAAUGCUUGCAUAUCUAAUAGAUGGUAAAGGCUUCUUACUCUUUCUGAUGCUGAUAAUGCGUUGAGCAAACACGAUAAGCACGCUGCAACGCGCCCGAAACAGUUCGAUAAUAACUUGUGCACACACAACCGUUUCGGGAUUGAAAAAAAAACCUUUCUAUAAUAGAGAUGUAAAUUUUGUCGGGGUACGGAAUAUUAGCGAAUAUGCAAAACCCCUUUUGUACCGGUGAUUGAACCUCGGAUGGGAUUGGUUAAAAAUUAAGAAUGGGUGAAAUUUUAACGUCUUUUUGUUCCAUAAUUACACGGUAACCUUACACCAGUUACACCUCUUAAUAUAUUUUGAUAAUAUUGCAUUCCAUGUUUGCCAAGUAAUUCAAAUAUAAGUAAAAAGCAAUUCUAUUUUAUCUAUAUUUGACAUAACCAUAAGAUAUAGAAUUCGACGAUUCCUUUUUUUCUACGAUGACGUGGUAACUUUACUUUCCACACUUUUUAGUGGACUUUUUAUUUCGGCGCUGAUUUUAAACUGAAAACAGUUUUAAAUGCAUUUUCCUGCCUGGUAAUCAUUUUUAGCAAGACUAAACCAGUUUAAACAUACCGUCAUCUGGCGCGAAACGGGACAUAUGGGGCGAAUUGGGACAGCUGUUUUGGCCUUGUUACUGCACAAUUUUUGGAUAUGUUUGUUCAGUUUCGGAUAGAACAGACACAGAACUACAAAAAUCAAACAAAAAUUGUGCAUCUUUUCCCAAUUUUCUAGCCUUUAUGUGCUCUAAAAACUGCUGUCCCUAUUCAGACUGUAGUCUCGAUUCGCCCCAGAUGACGGCACCGUAAACCGGGAGAGCCGGGCUUGUUAACUAUAAUUUAGAAAAUGUUAAUAAAUGGGAUUAUUUUAAUAUUCUUUUAAAAUGCAAUGAUUUUCCAAUUAAAAAUGAGAAACUGUUUGUCAUUUUAAAAUACAAUUUAAAUCGAUAUUUUUUUAUAAAUAACUUUUAAAGAAUACUUGACAACAUUUUAACAUUUCAUCAAUUUACCUUUUAUUUUAUGUAUUUUGUUAACAUUUUAACAAGUAAACUAUGAUCAAUGAUCAAUAUCAAUGUCAUUACGCAGAUUUCAAAAUGAGAAAUUCUAACACACCUAUCAAAUCAUUUUUUCAAAAAAAAAGUUCAUGCACGUUUGUGAACAUUUUCAUUGAAAUAUUGAAUCCAUGGUCCAGUUUUACGAUGCUGGGCAAUUCUUUUCGGUUUCAAUUUCGGUCAUUCGAUUUUUUUGUAUUUUUUAAUCCGGCUGAAACUAUUUAUGCCCAAAGAAGCCAUUUUGCAUCAUUAGUUUGUCCAUAUAAUUUGCCAUACAAAUUUGGCAGCUGUGCAUACAAAAAUGCUUUAUGAAAAUUCAAAAAUCUGUAUCUUUUCCAGGAAUUUUUUGAUCGAUUUGGUUUCUUCGGCAAAAUUGCAGAUAUGGAUAAGGACUACACUGAAAAAAAUAUAUAUACGGUAAAAAAAAAUUGGUGAUGUUUUACUUCACUUUUUGUUACUAAAACUUGAUUUGCAAAAAACACUAUUUUUUCAGAUAUAUAUUAGGGGACAUAAAAUGCCAGCUUUUCUGAAAUUUUCAGAAUGUGCAAAAAAUCUUUGACUGAGUUAUGAAUUUUUGAAUCAAUACAGAUUUAAAAAAAAUCGAAAUAUCGGUCGCAACAAUUUUUCAACUUCAUUUUUCGAUGUUAAAUCGAAUUUGCAAUCAAAAAGUACUUGAGUGAAAUUUCGAGAAAGUGAACCGUUUUCAACUUAUAGCCAUUUUUAGGUAACUCAUUUUUUAAAUAAGUGCCCAUGUUUGCCCACUUUUGAAUAUUUUCAUUCUAAACUAACAUUCCAAAACGGCGUAAUAAUGAAUAUUUUGCCCUUUUGAAAUGUUAGUCUUGAUUUUAAAAAAAUUAAAAUCGAGUCGAGGUUCAAGCCAAAAUUCCCAGUGGACAUAACGCCAUAUUUUCAUUUCAAUU